RNAcentral lists this ribosomal RNA (574 nucleotides) under Kocuria rosea subsp. polaris. Its description in RNAcentral is "bacterial SSU rRNA". It matches the Rfam family "Bacterial small subunit ribosomal RNA", at positions 40 to 623 of the family's 1533-position model. The record is from RNAcentral. Lineage: Bacteria; Bacillati; Actinomycetota; Actinomycetes; Micrococcales; Micrococcaceae.
CGGCGUGCUUAACACAUGCAAGUCGAACGAUGAUGCCCAGCUUGCUGGGCGGAUUAGUGGCGAACGGGUGAGUAAUACGUGAGUAACCUGCCCUUGACUCUGGGAUAAGCCUGGGAAACUGGGUCUAAUACUGGAUACUACCUCUUACCGCAUGGUGGGUGGUGGAAAGGGUUUUACUGGUUUUGGAUGGGCUCACGGCCUAUCAGCUUGUUGGUGGGGUAAUGGCUCACCAAGGCGACGACGGGUAGCCGGCCUGAGAGGGUGACCGGCCACACUGGGACUGAGACACGGCCCAGACUCCUACGGGAGGCAGCAGUGGGGAAUAUUGCACAAUGGGCGGAAGCCUGAUGCAGCGACGCCGCGUGAGGGAUGACGGCCUUCGGGUUGUAAACCUCUUUCAGUAGGGAAGAAGCGAGAGUGACGGUACCUGCAGAAGAAGCGCCGGCUAACUACGUGCCAGCAGCCGCGGUAAUACGUAGGGCGCAAGCGUUGUCCGGAAUUAUUGGGCGUAAAGAGCUCGUAGGCGGUUUGUCGCGUCUGCUGUGAAAGCCCGGGGGCUCAACCCCGGGUCUUG